CAGGGGAUGGAUGGCCAGGCUGCAAAAGUCUUGUUGCUACAGAGCUCCAAGAUGCUGCUUGUUGCCUUUAAUCAUAAAAAGCUUCAGGACCUUCACAGUCUGAAAAGAAGCUGAACACUGGUUCUCAGGAUCUACUGCCUUCUCCAUUGGAUUCUUCCUCCAUCCUACCCCC
This 172-nucleotide long non-coding RNA is filed under the name Cercocebus atys (sooty mangabey). Its description in RNAcentral is "lncRNA (ENSCATG00000045421.1)". The record is from RNAcentral. Lineage: Eukaryota; Metazoa; Chordata; Mammalia; Primates; Cercopithecidae.